AGUGAACGCUGGCGGUAGGCCUAACACAUGCAAGUCGAACGGCAGCACAGUAAGAGCUUGCUCUUACGGGUGGCGAGUGGCGGACGGGUGAGGAAUACAUCGGAAUCUACUUUUUCGUGGGGGAUAACGUAGGGAAACUUACGCUAAUACCGCAUACGACCUACGGGUGAAAGCAGGGGAUCUUCGGACCUUGCGCGAUUGAAUGAGCCGAUGUCGGAUUAGCUAGUUGGCGGGGUAAAGGCCCACCAAGGCGACGAUCCGUAGCUGGUCUGAGAGGAUGAUCAGCCACACUGGAACUGAGACACGGUCCAGACUCCUACGGGAGGCAGCAGUAGGGAAUAUUGGACAAUAGGCGCAAGCCUGAUCCAGCCAUACCGCGUGGGUGAAGAAGGCCUUCGGGUUGUAAAGCCCUUUUGUUGGGAAAGAAAAGCAGCAGGUUAAUACCCCGCUGUUCUGACGGUACCCAAAGAAUAAGCACCGGCUAACUUCGUG
Molecule: ribosomal RNA, 492 nt
Filed under: uncultured bacterium
Lineage: Bacteria
Description: partial 16S ribosomal RNA
Rfam family: Bacterial small subunit ribosomal RNA
Source: RNAcentral